UUCCUAGGUUGGUGAGUGUUACAACAGAUAUUUUUGAGGGUUACUGGGUGUAGGUAAAGUUCAGGCAGGCUGCCUACUGAAUGAACCAAAAAUCAUGAAAUCAUAUCCCAGCUGUCAGUGGACUAAACUGUUCUAAUACGGAGUUCAGCCUUACUAUGGCCUGCUUCAUUAUUUGGGGAUUCAGAAAAGGGGGAAUGACCUUUCUUAGCUGAAGAGAUUUUGCUGGUGUCCAUCCAGCCUUCUCUUGAACCUUAUCAAAUCUUUGCAACCACAGUGUCCUUUGGCAAGGAGUUCUGUAGCUUUAUUUUACACUGAAUGAAGAACUAGCUGGCUUUCUUUGCUCUGAACUUACACCCAUUUGGAAGACUUGAGGAUGUAUCCUAUCCCUUCUGAUGUCCGUACCUGGUUCUCAGAAGAGAGGAAGAACUACAUCUCCCAGAAGACUUUCGCUGUGUGGUUUCUGUUUUCUGUUCAGAGAGAAAGAUAAAACUGCCCGGGACUGAUGAGGCUGUCCUUCUUUUGCUGCUUGUCUCUGCAGUGUGUGCUCC
Molecule: long non-coding RNA, 548 nt
Filed under: Gallus gallus (chicken)
Lineage: Eukaryota; Metazoa; Chordata; Aves; Galliformes; Phasianidae
Source: RNAcentral